Molecule: transfer RNA, 82 nt
Filed under: Aspergillus ruber CBS 135680
Lineage: Eukaryota; Fungi; Ascomycota; Eurotiomycetes; Eurotiales; Aspergillaceae
Description: tRNA-Ser (CGA) (tRNA-Ser-CGA-1-1, tRNA-Ser-CGA-1-2)
Rfam family: tRNA
About the family: Transfer RNA (tRNA) molecules are approximately 80 nucleotides in length. Their secondary structure includes four short double-helical elements and three loops (D, anti-codon, and T loops). Further hydrogen bonds mediate the characteristic L-shaped molecular structure. tRNAs have two regions of fundamental functional importance: the anti-codon, which is responsible for specific mRNA codon recognition, and the 3' end, to which the tRNAs corresponding amino acid is attached (by aminoacyl-tRNA synthetases). tRNAs cope with the degeneracy of the genetic code in two manners: having more than one tRNA (with a specific anti-codon) for a particular amino acid; and 'wobble' base-pairing, i.e. permitting non-standard base-pairing at the 3rd anti-codon position.
Source: RNAcentral
GACACUUUGGCCGAGUGGACUAAGGCGCGAGACUCGAAAUCUCGUAUCUUCGGAUGCGCAAGUUCGAAUCUUGCAGGUGUCG